This 24-nucleotide non-coding RNA is filed under the name Arabidopsis thaliana (thale cress). Lineage: Eukaryota; Viridiplantae; Streptophyta; Magnoliopsida; Brassicales; Brassicaceae. The record is from RNAcentral.
CUGGAUUAGUUGUUCUUAAUGCCU